UACAUAGGGGGCAAGCGUUGUCCGGAAUGACUGGGCGUAAAGGGAGCGUAGGCGGUUUCUUAAGUUAAAUGUGAAAGCCCGGAGCUUAACUCCGGAACUGCAUUUAAUACUGGGUGACUUGAGUGUGGGAGAGGUAAGUGGAAUUCCUAGUGUAGCGGUUAAAUGCAUAGAUAUUAGGAGGAACAUCAGUGGCGAAGGCGGCUUACUGGAACAUAACUGACGCUGAGGCUCGAAAGCGUGGGGAGCAAAC
Molecule: ribosomal RNA, 250 nt
Filed under: uncultured prokaryote
Description: partial 16S ribosomal RNA
Rfam family: Bacterial small subunit ribosomal RNA
Source: RNAcentral